Long non-coding RNA from Rhododendron vialii, 318 nucleotides. RefSeq lists it as uncharacterized. The transcript has 3 exons. The record is from RefSeq and is a predicted model, not a curated record. NCBI's taxonomy places the organism in Eukaryota, Viridiplantae, Streptophyta, Magnoliopsida, Ericales, Ericaceae.
UCAUGAAGCCCUGGAGCAGCAAACCAUUUCCAUUGCCAAAGCAGGAAUAACGACUGUUCUAAAUUCUAGAACCUCUGUGCUGGCAGCAGCUAAUCCUCCAUCUAGACGUUAUGAUGAUCUCAAGACUGCUCAAGACAAUAUUGAUUUGCAGACUACUAUUCUUUUGAGAUUUGAUUUAAUCUUCAUUGUGAAAGAUAUCAGGCUGUAUAGUCAAGACAAGAGUAUAGCUAGCCAUAUAAUCAAAGUUCAUGCCUCUGCUGGUGCAACAACAGGUGACACUAGAGUUUCUAAAGAAGAUAACUGGCUGAAAAGGUACAA